This 432-nucleotide ribosomal RNA is filed under the name uncultured bacterium. RNAcentral describes it as "partial 16S ribosomal RNA". It matches the Rfam family "Bacterial small subunit ribosomal RNA", at positions 338 to 795 of the family's 1533-position model. The record is from RNAcentral.
CCUACGGGGGGCAGCAGUGGGGAAUUUUGGACAAUGGGCGCAAGCCUGAUCCAGCCAUGCCGCGUGUGGGAAGAAGGCCUUCGGGUUGUAAACCACUUUUGUGGAAAGGGCGGUACCUGAAGAAUAAGCACCGGCUAACUACGUGCCAGCAGCCGCGGUAAUACGUAGGGUGCAAGCGUUAAUCGGAAUUACUGGGCGUAAAGCGUGCGCAGGCGGCUUUGCAAGACAGAUGUGAAAUCCCCGGGCUUAACCUGGGAACUGCAUUUGUGACUGCAUGGCUGGAGUGCGGCAGAGGGGGAUGGAAUUCCGCGUGUAGCAGUGAAAUGCGUAGAUAUGCGGAGGAACACCGAUGGCGAAGGCAAUCCCCUGGGCCUGACUGACGCUCAUGCACGAAAGCGUGGGGAGCAAACAGGAUUAGAUACCCUUGUAGUC